Ipomoea nil (Japanese morning glory) is the source of this 756-nucleotide RNA transcript. It is a transcript of the gene named aldehyde dehydrogenase family 7 member B4-like, with no coding region annotated. The record is from RefSeq and is a predicted model, not a curated record. The transcript has 6 exons. Lineage: Eukaryota; Viridiplantae; Streptophyta; Magnoliopsida; Solanales; Convolvulaceae.
AUGGAUAGAGGGCAACUGUCCACUUGUCGAGCAAGGAGCCAAGGAAGAAGACGGUUCACACUACCUCUAAACUCUUGAUUCUUACAGCUGUUUUGUUCGGGAAUAUGGAGCAAGGGGAGUUGACAGAGUAGGAGACUUCCAUCUACGAUCGUCAGAUGAUGGAAAAUACACUACUUCUGCUUUGUGUGGAUUUGUUCAUGCACAGGUUACAGAACUGAAGGUUCAGAGAUUCUGGUGUGCAAAUCGAAGAUGUUAUGCUGAACAUAGCACGGGUUUAAUUGAGCUUGAGUUUAAGGAUCUGGAGAAAGUUCUGGAGCCUUUAUUUUACCACUGGAAACAGAAGAGACAAUCAAGAACUUAGGCAUUUGGUGACUUCACAACCGCAUGACCAUAGACGAAGUUGUUGAAGCUUCAAUUGAAGAUUAUGAAGAAGGCAUGCAGGCUUGUAACGAAGUAGCAAAGCUGUGGAUGCAGAUUCCAGCACCAAAAAGAGGUGAUAUUGUUAGGCAGAUUGGUGAUGCACUUAGAGGAAAACUUCACUACUUUGGCUGACUUGUUUCACUUGAAAUGGGGAAAAUACUACCUGAAGGAAUUGGGGAGGUUCAAGUAUGUCUACUUUACUAAGUCUGUGGUGUAACAAAAAAGUCUUAUUCUUCUGCAACAAUGAAACUGUUCCUUGACUUGUUCUCCUGCCAACAAUAAUGUACAAGUUAAUUCCAUUUUCUCUAAGAAUAAUUGAUGGUUUUCAUUUCUAAA